This 67-nucleotide transfer RNA is filed under the name Alectorobius capensis. Its description in RNAcentral is "Ornithodoros capensis tRNA-Trp". Lineage: Eukaryota; Metazoa; Arthropoda; Arachnida; Ixodida; Argasidae. The record is from RNAcentral.
UUAAGACUUUAAGUUAAAUAAACUAUUUGCCUUCAAAGCAAAAAAUAUAAAUAAAUUAAGUCUUAAA